This 1529-nucleotide ribosomal RNA is filed under the name Salmonella enterica subsp. enterica. Its description in RNAcentral is "bacterial SSU rRNA". It matches the Rfam family "Bacterial small subunit ribosomal RNA". Lineage: Bacteria; Pseudomonadati; Pseudomonadota; Gammaproteobacteria; Enterobacterales; Enterobacteriaceae. The record is from RNAcentral.
AGAGUUUGAUCAUGGCUCAGAUUGAACGCUGGCGGCAGGCCUAACACAUGCAAGUCGAACGGUAACAGGAAGCAGCUUGCUGCUUUGCUGACGAGUGGCGGACGGGUGAGUAAUGUCUGGGAAACUGCCUGAUGGAGGGGGAUAACUACUGGAAACGGUGGCUAAUACCGCAUAACGUCGCAAGACCAAAGAGGGGGACCUUCGGGCCUCUUGCCAUCAGAUGUGCCCAGAUGGGAUUAGCUUGUUGGUGAGGUAACGGCUCACCAAGGCGACGAUCCCUAGCUGGUCUGAGAGGAUGACCAGCCACACUGGAACUGAGACACGGUCCAGACUCCUACGGGAGGCAGCAGUGGGGAAUAUUGCACAAUGGGCGCAAGCCUGAUGCAGCCAUGCCGCGUGUAUGAAGAAGGCCUUCGGGUUGUAAAGUACUUUCAGCGGGAGGAAGGUGUUGUGGUUAAUAACCACAGCAAUUGACGUUACCCGCAGAAGAAGCACCGGCUAACUCCGUGCCAGCAGCCGCGGUAAUACGGAGGGUGCAAGCGUUAAUCGGAAUUACUGGGCGUAAAGCGCACGCAGGCGGUCUGUCAAGUCGGAUGUGAAAUCCCCGGGCUCAACCUGGGAACUGCAUUCGAAACUGGCAGGCUUGAGUCUUGUAGAGGGGGGUAGAAUUCCAGGUGUAGCGGUGAAAUGCGUAGAGAUCUGGAGGAAUACCGGUGGCGAAGGCGGCCCCCUGGACAAAGACUGACGCUCAGGUGCGAAAGCGUGGGGAGCAAACAGGAUUAGAUACCCUGGUAGUCCACGCCGUAAACGAUGUCUACUUGGAGGUUGUGCCCUUGAGGCGUGGCUUCCGGAGCUAACGCGUUAAGUAGACCGCCUGGGGAGUACGGCCGCAAGGUUAAAACUCAAAUGAAUUGACGGGGGCCCGCACAAGCGGUGGAGCAUGUGGUUUAAUUCGAUGCAACGCGAAGAACCUUACCUGGUCUUGACAUCCACAGAACUUUCCAGAGAUGGAUUGGUGCCUUCGGGAACUGUGAGACAGGUGCUGCAUGGCUGUCGUCAGCUCGUGUUGUGAAAUGUUGGGUUAAGUCCCGCAACGAGCGCAACCCUUAUCCUUUGUUGCCAGCGGUUAGGCCGGGAACUCAAAGGAGACUGCCAGUGAUAAACUGGAGGAAGGUGGGGAUGACGUCAAGUCAUCAUGGCCCUUACGACCAGGGCUACACACGUGCUACAAUGGCGCAUACAAAGAGAAGCGACCUCGCGAGAGCAAGCGGACCUCAUAAAGUGCGUCGUAGUCCGGAUUGGAGUCUGCAACUCGACUCCAUGAAGUCGGAAUCGCUAGUAAUCGUGGAUCAGAAUGCCACGGUGAAUACGUUCCGGGCCUUGUACACACCGCCCGUCACACCAUGGGAGUGGGUUGCAAAAGAAGUAGGUAGCUUAACCUUCGGGAGGGCGCUUACCACUUUGUGAUUCAUGACUGGGGGUGAAGUCGUAACAAGGUAACCGUAGGGGAACCUGCGGUUGGAUCACCU